AUUGAACGCUGGCGGCAUGCCUUACACAUGCAAGUCGAACGGUAACAGGUCUUCGGAUGCUGACGAGUGGCGAACGGGUGAGUAAUACAUCGGAACGUGCCUAGUAGUGGGGGAUAACUACUCGAAAGAGUGGCUAAUACCGCAUGAGAUCUACGGAUGAAAGCAGGGGAUCGCAAGACCUUGUGCUACUAGAGCGGCCGAUGGCAGAUUAGGUAGUUGGUGGGAUAAAAGCUUACCAAGCCGACGAUCUGUAGCUGGACUGAGAGGACGAUCAGCCACACUGGGACGGAGACACGGCCCGGACUCCUACGGGAGGCAGCAGUGGGGAAUUUUGGACAAUGGGCGAAAGCCUGAUCCAGCAAUGCCGCGUGCAGGAUGAAGGCCUUCGGGUUGUAAACUGCUUUUGUACGGAACGAAAAGCCCCGGGUUAAUACCCUGGGGUCAUGACGGUACCGUAAGAAUAAGCACCGGCUAACUACGUGCCAGCAGCCGCCGCCG
This 498-nucleotide ribosomal RNA is filed under the name uncultured bacterium. RNAcentral's name for it is "partial 16S ribosomal RNA". It matches the Rfam family "Bacterial small subunit ribosomal RNA", at positions 30 to 523 of the family's 1533-position model. The record is from RNAcentral.